CUGGCGGCGUGCCUAAUACAUGCGAGUUGAACGGUCUUUCUAUGGAAGCUUGCUUCCACUGAGAAGAUAGUGGCGAACGGGUGAGUAACACGUGGGUAACCUGCCCAUAAGAGGGGGAUAACAUCCGGAAACGGGUGCUAAUACCGCAUAGUUUUCUUGAUCGCAUGAUCGGGAAAGGAAAGACGGCCUUUGUGCUGUCGCUUAUGGAUGGACCCGCGGCGUAUUAGUUAGUUGGUGAGGUAACGGCUCACCAAGACGAUGGAUACGUAGCCGACCUGAGAGGGUGAUCGGCCACAUUGGGACUGAGACACGGCCCAAACUCCUACGGGAGGCAGCAGUAGGGAAUCUUCCGCAAUGGACGAAAGUCUGACGGAGCAACGCCGCGUGAGUGAAGAAAAGGUUUUCGGAUCGUAAAACUCUGUUGUCAGAGAAGAACAAGUUGGAGAGUAACUGCUCCAGCCUUGACGGUAUCUGACCAGAAAGCCACGGCUAACUACGUGCCAGCAGCCGC
This 511-nucleotide ribosomal RNA is filed under the name uncultured bacterium. RNAcentral describes it as "bacterial SSU rRNA". It matches the Rfam family "Bacterial small subunit ribosomal RNA", at positions 36 to 518 of the family's 1533-position model. The record is from RNAcentral.